CGGGCACACUCUUUCAGAAGGCUCCGUUCGCGAAGUUGUCGGCCGCGCUCAUUCAGAACAUCGACCUGAUUGUGCGCCGCUGGCGGAAUCUGCGCGACAAAUUCGCCAAGAAGAUAAAGGAGUUGGCCAAGAAGAGCGGAGCAGAAGCAGGAGAACCUGUUUCAAAGUGGAAGUACUUCGACCUCAUGCUCUUCCUGAGGGACAUUGUAGAACCACGCCCAACAACAAGCAACCUGAAUGUUCCCAAUUCACUAGACGAGGUCCUUAGGGAUACCGAAGAUGACCCGGUAGUGCUGUUUGGUUCAAUGCUGCCCCACCAAGGUGCCAGCAGUGAAGAUACAACACAUUGAACUCCCACAUGAGGAAGACAACACAAACACGAUCAUCAACACCUCUUUCAAACAUUUCGCCGCAUUACCCCACUCAAUCUACACAGCCUUCCUCCCUUUCAUCACACUCCCCAACACGAACACACGAAGCUGCAUCCACUAUUACACGCACAACUUUUCAAACAAAAGAGACACAAGAGGAAAUCACAAAGAGACGCUAUGCUGUCUAGAGUGGAUGCCCCGCUGCAGGAAGAAAAACUGGGCAGAAACGAGCAAUUUCUGCUCUCACUGGCAGGCGACAUGGACAGUGUGCCAGCGCACCUAAGCGGACAGUGCAAGGUGCACCUGCUGGAAGUGCUCCUGCACUACCAAGCAGGAGUCAUCC
Long non-coding RNA from Dermacentor albipictus, 714 nucleotides. RefSeq lists it as uncharacterized. Lineage: Eukaryota; Metazoa; Arthropoda; Arachnida; Ixodida; Ixodidae. The record is from RefSeq and is a predicted model, not a curated record.